GGGGAUGUAGCUCAGUGGUAGAGCGUUCGCUUUGCAUGUGAAAGG
Molecule: transfer RNA, 45 nt
Filed under: Melipona quadrifasciata
Lineage: Eukaryota; Metazoa; Arthropoda; Insecta; Hymenoptera; Apidae
Rfam family: tRNA
About the family: Transfer RNA (tRNA) molecules are approximately 80 nucleotides in length. Their secondary structure includes four short double-helical elements and three loops (D, anti-codon, and T loops).
Source: Rfam by way of RNAcentral